This 513-nucleotide ribosomal RNA is filed under the name uncultured bacterium. Its description in RNAcentral is "partial 16S ribosomal RNA". It matches the Rfam family "Bacterial small subunit ribosomal RNA", at positions 28 to 523 of the family's 1533-position model. The record is from RNAcentral.
GACGAACGCUGGCGGCGUGCCUAAUACAUGCAAGUUGAGCGCUGAAGGUUGGUACUUGUACCAACUGGAUGAGCAGCGAACGGGUGAGUAACGCGUGGGGAAUCUGCCUUUGAGCGGGGGACAACAUUUGGAAACGAAUGCUAAUACCGCAUAAAAACUUUAAACACAAGUUUUAAGUUUGAAAGAUGAAAUUGCAUCACUCAAAGAUGAUCCCGCGUUGUAUUAGCUAGUUGGUGAGGUAAAGGCUCACCAAGGCGAUGAUACAUAGCCGACCUGAGAGGGUGAUCGGCCACACUGGGACUGAGACACGGCCCAAACUCCUACGGGAGGCAGCAGUAGGGAAUCUUCGGCAAUGGACGAAAGUCUGACCGAGCAACGCCGCGUGAGUGAAGAAGGUUUUCGGAUCGUAAAACUCUGUUGGUAGAGAAGAACGUUGGUGAGAGUGGAAAGCUCAUCAAGUGACGGUAACUACCCAGAAAGGGACGGCUAACUACGUGCCAGCCGCCGCGGUAA